GCAAUUUGUUUGCUUGUGGCUUUCAAGAGUUAAUCCUGGUUGUUUCUUUGGCUUGUAUCGCCAUCCAAACGGGAAUCAGACAGAAACAAAGUAUAGUUCUGUGAUUUCUCGAUUGUUAAUUGGAUUUUUUGUUUUUGGUUUUAAUGUGAAAUUGGAUUUUAAGUUGAACAAAUGCAACAUCACCAUUGUAUAAACAUGAUGAUCUCCACAGUUUAUGAAGGUUUUUUGCACGUAUAUAUAUAGAGAAAAUCUUUCAAGAGUUUUUACGUUUGUCUCACUAAUUUCGUCUUCCAUUCUCUCGUCUUU
Long non-coding RNA from Arabidopsis thaliana (thale cress), 306 nucleotides. RefSeq annotates it as other RNA. NCBI's taxonomy places the organism in Eukaryota, Viridiplantae, Streptophyta, Magnoliopsida, Brassicales, Brassicaceae. The transcript has a single exon. The record is from RefSeq.